CGAACGGGUGAGUAAUACAUCGGGACGUGUCCGCUCGUGGGGGACAACCAGCCGAAAGGUUGGCUAAUACCGCAUGAGUUCUACGGAAGAAAGAGGGGGACCCGCAAGGGCCUCUCGCGAGCGGAGCGGCCGAUGACUGAUUAGCCGGUUGGUGAGGUAACGGCUCACCAAAGCAACGAUCAGUAGCUGGUCUGAGAGGACGACCAGCCACACUGGGACUGAGACACGGCCCAGACUCCUACGGAAGGCAGCAG
RNAcentral lists this ribosomal RNA (254 nucleotides) under uncultured bacterium. RNAcentral's name for it is "partial 16S ribosomal RNA". It matches the Rfam family "Bacterial small subunit ribosomal RNA", at positions 99 to 354 of the family's 1533-position model. The record is from RNAcentral.